GCCCUCGUAGCUCAAUCGGAUUCAGAGCGUUGGUCUACGGAACCGGAGGUUGCGGGUUCGAACCCCGCCGAGGGCA
This 76-nucleotide transfer RNA is filed under the name Bifidobacterium longum subsp. longum. Its description in RNAcentral is "tRNA-Arg". It matches the Rfam family "tRNA". From Rfam's summary of the family: Transfer RNA (tRNA) molecules are approximately 80 nucleotides in length. Their secondary structure includes four short double-helical elements and three loops (D, anti-codon, and T loops). Lineage: Bacteria; Bacillati; Actinomycetota; Actinomycetes; Bifidobacteriales; Bifidobacteriaceae. The record is from RNAcentral. RNAcentral also lists the same sequence under 1 other name.